This 1437-nucleotide ribosomal RNA is filed under the name uncultured organism. Its description in RNAcentral is "SSU rRNA". It matches the Rfam family "Bacterial small subunit ribosomal RNA". The record is from RNAcentral.
UGCUACAGGCUUAACACAUGCAAGUCGAGGGGCAGCAUGGUCUUAGCUUGCUAAGGCCGAUGGCGACCGGCGCACGGGUGAGUAACACGUAUCCAACCUGCCGUCUACUCUUGGACAGCCUUCUGAAAGGAAGAUUAAUACAAGAUGGCAUCAUGAGUCCGCAUGUUCACAUGAUUAAAGGUAUUCCGGUAGACGAUGGGGAUGCGUUCCAUUAGAUAGUAGGCGGGGUAACGGCCCACCUAGUCUUCGAUGGAUAGGGGUUCUGAGAGGAAGGUCCCCCACAUUGGAACUGAGACACGGUCCAAACUCCUACGGGAGGCAGCAGUGAGGAAUAUUGGUCAAUGGGCGAGAGCCUGAACCAGCCAAGUAGCGUGAAGGAUGACUGCCCUAUGGGUUGUAAACUUCUUUUAUAAAGGAAUAAAGUCGGGUAUGCAUACCCGUUUGCAUGUACUUUAUGAAUAAGGAUCGGCUAACUCCGUGCCAGCAGCCGCGGUAAUACGGAGGAUCCGAGCGUUAUCCGGAUUUAUUGGGUUUAAAGGGAGCGUAGAUGGAUGUUUAAGUCAGUUGUGAAAGUUUGCGGCUCAACCGUAAAAUUGCAGUUGAUACUGGAUAUCUUGAGUGCAGUUGAGGCAGGCGGAAUUCGUGGUGUAGCGGUGAAAUGCUUAGAUAUCACGAAGAACUCCGAUUGCGAAGGCAGCCUGCUAAGCUGCAACUGACAUUGAGGCUCGAAAGUGUGGGUAUCAAACAGGAUUAGAUACCCUGGUAGUCCACACGGUAAACGAUGAAUACUCGCUGUUUGCGAUAUACAGCAAGCGGCCAAGCGAAAGCGUUAAGUAUUCCACCUGGGGAGUACGCCGGCAACGGUGAAACUCAAAGGAAUUGACGGGGGCCCGCACAAGCGGAGGAACAUGUGGUUUAAUUCGAUGAUACGCGAGGAACCUUACCCGGGCUUAAAUUGCAGAUGAAUUACGGUGAAAGCCGUAAGCCGCAAGGCAUCUGUGAAGGUGCUGCAUGGUUGUCGUCAGCUCGUGCCGUGAGGUGCCGGCUUAAGUGCCAUAACGAGCGCAACCCUUGUUGUCAGUUACUAACAGGUUCCGCUGAGGACUCUGACAAGACUGCCAUCGUAAGAUGUGAGGAAGGUGGGGAUGACGUCAAAUCAGCACGGCCCUUACGUCCGGGGCUACACACGUGUUACAAUGGGGGGGUACAGAGGGCCGCUACCACGCGAGUGGAUGCCAAUCCCAAAAACCUCUCUCAGUUCGGACUGGAGUCUGCAACCCGACUCCACGAAGCUGGAUUCGCUAGUAAUCGCGCAUCAGCCACGGCGCGGUGAAUACGUUCCCGGGCCUUGUACACACCGCCCGUCAAGCCAUGGGAGCCGGGGGUACCUGAAGUGCGUAACCGCGAGGAGCGCCCUAGGGUAAAACUGGUGACUGG